UCAAACUUGGUCAUUCAGAGGAAGUAAAAGUCGUAACAAGGUUUCCGUAGGUGAACCUGCGGAAGGAUCAUUCACAAUAAAGUGUGUCUAGCACUUUUUAAAAAAUCUAGUACCCACCUUGUGUGCAACGUAUUGAGGUCAUGUGAUUCGUCACGUGAUUCAAUAAUACCAACCUUUAUUUUUAACGUAUGUCUGAAGAUAUUAUGAAUACCAAAUUCAAAUAUAACUUUCAACAACGGAUCUCUUGGCUCUCACAUCGAUGAAGAACGCAGC
Molecule: unclassified non-coding RNA, 273 nt
Filed under: uncultured fungus
Lineage: Eukaryota; Fungi
Description: partial contains small subunit ribosomal RNA, internal transcribed spacer 1, and 5.8S ribosomal RNA
Rfam family: Eukaryotic small subunit ribosomal RNA (bases 1-73)
Source: RNAcentral